Long non-coding RNA from Hibiscus syriacus, 594 nucleotides. RefSeq lists it as uncharacterized. The transcript has 3 exons. The record is from RefSeq and is a predicted model, not a curated record. NCBI's taxonomy places the organism in Eukaryota, Viridiplantae, Streptophyta, Magnoliopsida, Malvales, Malvaceae.
GUCAUUUUCUUUCCUUCGCUCCACACCGAAUUUCGAUCGAUCCAGUGGCCUUCUUCCCCUUUUUCCCUCUUUGUUUUCUAUCUCUCAUCUUAUCGAGUCCACGACUCAUUGACGGAGAAGCUGGAAGAGCAGCUCAAGGAGCUGGGAUCCAAGUUGGAAUCUCCUCCAUCCGCGAAAGACGCCAUUCUCAAGCUGUUAAAGGCACGCAUUCUUCAACUUUUUAUUACUUCUCCACUGAACUUUAGAUUGCUUAGCUAAAGUUCGUUCCUAAUUGGUUGAAUUAGGGUUGUUCCCAUAAUUCACAAAGUUUCUCCUAAUCAUGGUUCUUCUACAACCAGACCCUUUUCUUAAUGAACUUACGAGCAUGUUUGAGCGAAGCACUGAGACCGGCUCUGUUUGGGUUACUCUUAAACGAUCUGCUACAUGUCUCUCUGAGAUUGACCAGUCUCCACCAUCAUCAAUAAUGGAAUCAAUGCAGCCUCUUCUUAAUGCAAUUGUCAAGCCAGAAUUGCUGAAUCAUCAAGAUCGGGAAGCCAAACUCCUAGUUGCAACCUGUAUUUGUGAGAUAACUCGGAUAAUUGCGCCUGAAGCGCC